RNAcentral lists this long non-coding RNA (1620 nucleotides) under Helianthus annuus (common sunflower). RNAcentral's name for it is "hypothetical non coding rna". The record is from RNAcentral. Lineage: Eukaryota; Viridiplantae; Streptophyta; Magnoliopsida; Asterales; Asteraceae.
GGUGGAGGUCGAACCUUCUGGUUCAGGUCGCAGGAAGGGAAAACCCCCUAUAUGGGGGUCAAUUUCUCAAAUUGAAGAAGAAUUAACGAGAUUGGAGCUUGAUUCUAUCAUCCUUCUCGAUUUCUAUGGAUAAUGGUGAGAUAACAUUUGGAUGGCAACGGGUCAAACGGGUGAUAAAGCAACAACACUCCUACGGGCGAAGGUGAGUGACUCGAAUGUGUUUGGAUUCGAAUUGAAUUAAAUAGUAUUCUUGUUAACUUGAAACUUUAUAGUUAAGGUGGACGGUGUAAUUGGGGUUCGAUUUAACAAUAACGUAUUGUUUUUAUUAUGUUUUUGGGGUUUAAAACCACUGAAAAAUAGUGCAAAUUGUUAAUGGGUCGAGAGACCAAAGUGCUGAAAAUUCAGCUUAUUUCCAUAUUUUUACCAAUCUUUAAAAAUUCAUAGUAAAUCAACCGAAUGUCCGUUCGGGGCGUAUUUUAUAUCCACGGAAAGGUCUCUGAGUCCCCGUCACUAAGAAUUUUAGUUUGAAGUGAAAUAUUUAUUGUAAAUGGGGGAAAACACUGAAUUACUACAGCUGCGCAAAGCUGACUGAAAAAUAUGAAUUUUAUAGUACUUGCAUAAUCUUGGGGAAUUUACAAAGAAUCCAUUGGAUGUGAUUUUGUUAUUGUUGUAAACCUUAAUGUGAUUAUAUAUAUUUACAUGAGUUGAAAUGAGUGAUUCCUUGAAUAUGGGGUAUGCAUGCUAAAUUAAGAAGUCAUUGGUGUUGUGACCCGUAUGUGCAAACAUACGUGAUUAUUGAGUAGUGCUUAUAAAUGAAUGACACUUGUGUCGUUAAACAUAUGUGACCUAAUUGAGUAUGUUAUGAAUACAUACAUGAAUUGUUAAGAGCAGGUUAAGUAAAAUGACCGUUGAUAAGCGUAUAUGUUGUUUAAUGAAUUACAAUAUAGUUAUGCGACGGUUUACUAUUUUAUCUAUAUUGACCGGAUUGCUUUAAUAAUGGUUUCCUUUGAAGUGCCCUUGACUCUAUGUUAGCAGGGAUAUACAUGAGAUAUGGAUAAAAGGCUCCCGGAUUAGAAAGGAGAAAAUUACGGAAUGCAUGACUUGAGAUAAUGAAGUGGAGGCUCGACGUUGUUUUGUUGGGCGUCAUGAGCAUUAAAAAAAAACCUCCUUUAUGUUUGAUACAAAAAAAAUAUAAUAUUACGAGUCCUCACUUAGCAAAAGCUAAUUUUUUGUAUCUUCAAUGUAGGUGAUAUGUUUGAAAACAAUGAACGGAUAGACAAGUUAUGAGAAACAACGGGGUGGCUUGAACCGGUAACAUGCAAGAAGAAAAGAACUCAAAAGUCGUUCACCAAUAAUCCGAUUCGGGUGGUAGAAAGGCGAAAGUGAUCAAGUCUUGGAAGCGGGUCAACUAUGGAAAGAUUUAGUGAUGAUUUAUUCACUAAGUAUAUGGGUUCUUAUCGGGUCAAAUUGACCUAGUAAUUUACAUUUUGGAGUUUAACUUCAGUGUUUGUUUUAGCUAAGCGCUAGUAUGUCAAUGUAGUAGUUGGUUAUGUUUGUUUUAUAAAACUUUCGACUUUGGUUAUUAAGCAGGUUUUGUCUUCGUAAGGAAUGAUCGUUUAG